Molecule: long non-coding RNA, 1083 nt
Filed under: Sorghum bicolor (sorghum)
Lineage: Eukaryota; Viridiplantae; Streptophyta; Magnoliopsida; Poales; Poaceae
Description: long non-coding RNA (SBIC_LNC016252)
Source: RNAcentral
ACAAAGUUUUUAUUUUGAGCAAUAUACAAUAGUUUUGUGUAAUCCUAAGUUUUAAAUAAAAUAAAAAGAAAGUUUGAUCCAAGUCUAGGUAAUUGACAAACAUGAUAUGAGAAGGUCUGAGCUACUAUUUAACUUGUUCCAAGUUUUGCUAGAGUUUUGGAGAUUUUAUCUUUUGAAAAUCUAAAAGUUCAUAUAUAUAUAUAUAUAAGAGAAGCCAUUGUUAAUUCUUGUAGUUUUGGUUGAGAGAAUUAUCAUGCUCCAAAGAUCAAGAUCUUUUUGUUUUAAAAAUAUAAAAGAUUCACUCUUCCGAAGUAUUAUUGCGUUAGAGGCAUGGGACUAUGCAAAAAUUUGAUUCAAAAGAAAGAGUGAGACGAGACGUAAAAAUGGACAAGUGUCCAAAGUAGAAUUAGGGGUACAAAGAUACCCACCUGAGUGAAAAAAAAUGGACACGUGUCCGAUAGUAGAAUUAGGGGUACUUGGUGCCCACUUAAAGAAAAGAAAGAAAAAAAAUUGAUAGCCCAUGGUCCCUCUAAUAAGCAAUAUGCCAGUAAGAGAUGACAAACUUUUCAAAAAGGUCAAAGGUCUUGAUCUAGGAGUAUGACAUUCCUCUCCCUUGCUCGGAGCAUUGACAUAGCAAAAUGCAAAGUAUGCUAAAACUUUUAAAGCUCUACUUAUAUAUCUUUCGAGAAGAAGGCAAAUUCCUCAGUUUUAUUUUGGAAACUUACAAAAAUACUCCAGAACAAAGGUAACACAGAAGAACUUGAGACAUAGUGCUUGACUUGAUCGUUCUGUUUUUCAAUCACUUAAGACCUUUGUGAUAAUUUAAAAACCCUGUAGUAAGAGGCAUAAAAGUAACCCAUGUUUUCUUGCUGAUUUUAGCUUUGCUCAGGACGAGCAAAGGUUAAGCUUGGGGGAGCUUGUUGACGGUCCUUAAUGCUCACAUUUAACCAUCAACUAAUCAUGGAAAAGGACUUAUAUGCAACCAACACCUAGACUUAGGAUUUUAUCUGACAGAAUUCCACGAGUUUUGGUGUUUGUCUAUUUCUGCAGGGGGUUAUUAGGGAAUAUAGAAGAAAGGCCCAC